RNAcentral lists this unclassified non-coding RNA (336 nucleotides) under soil metagenome. RNAcentral describes it as "partial contains 5.8S ribosomal RNA, internal transcribed spacer 2, and large subunit ribosomal RNA". The stretch from base 1 to 120 matches the Rfam family "5.8S ribosomal RNA", at positions 35 to 154 of the family's 154-position model. The record is from RNAcentral.
GAUGAAGAACGUAGCGAAAUGCGAUAAGUAGUGUGAAUUGCAGAAUUCAGUGAAACAUCGAAUCUUUGAACGCACAUUGCGCCCCUUGGUAUUCCAUGGGGCAUGCCUGUUCGAGCGUCAUUUGUACCUUCAAGCUUUGCUUGGUGUUGGGUGUUUGUCUCGCCUUUGCGUGUAGACUCGCCUUAAAAUAAUUGGCAGCCGGCGUAUUGAUUUCGGAGCGCAGUACAUCUCGCGCUUUGCACUCAUAACGACAGCGUCCAAAAGUACAUUUUACACUCUUGACCUCGGAUCAGGUAGGGAUACCCGCUGAACUUAAGCAUAUCAAUAAGCGGAGGA